Molecule: RNA transcript, 1808 nt
Organism: Abrus precatorius (Indian licorice)
Lineage: Eukaryota; Viridiplantae; Streptophyta; Magnoliopsida; Fabales; Fabaceae
Gene name: serine/arginine-rich-splicing factor SR34-like
Exons: 15
Source: RefSeq, a predicted model, not a curated record
AGUACCUUUUUAUCAUACCAUACGACACAAAUCCUUUUCCCUCUCGCGUCUCCCUCCCCUAAAAUCAAAACCCUAACCUCACCGCAUCGCCACCACCGAUCCCCAAUCUCCACUAAUCGAAGUCCACAAAAGAAAAUGAGUAGACGUGCGAGCAGAACUGUGUACGUUGGGAAUCUACCUGGUGAUAUCCGUGAAAGAGAAGUUGAAGAUUUGUUCAUGAAGUAUGGACACAUUACUCACAUUGACCUAAAAGUUCCCCCAAGACCACCUGGUUAUGCAUUCGUAGAGUUUGAAGAUGCUCAAGAUGCAGAGGAUGCAAUUCGUGGGCGUGAUGGCUAUGAUUUUGAUGGGCACCGGUUACGGGUGGAGCCUGCUCAUGGUGGACGUGGUCAUUCAUCCUCAAGAGAUCGAUAUAGUAGUCACAGCAAUGGGCGGGCUGGACGUGGAGUAUCUAGGCGCUCUGAGUACCGUGUUCUAGUCACUGGAUUGCCUUCUUCUGCAUCGUGGCAGGAUCUUAAGGAUCACAUGCGGAAGGCUGGGGAUGUUUGCUUUUCCCAAGUUUUUCAUGAUGGAAGGGGUACUACUGGUAUUGUGGAUUACACAAAUUAUGAUGAUAUGAAAUAUGCUAUCAAGAAGCUUGAUGACUCUGAGUUCCGAAAUGCAUUUGCCAGGGCUUAUAUUCGCGUUAGGGAAUAUGAUUCAAGGAGGGACUCCUCUAGAAGUCCUAGUCGCGGCCCAUCUCAUUCUAGAGGAAGAAGCUACAGCCGCAGUCGCAGCCGUAGUUACAGUCGUGGUCGAAGCCAAAGCAAAUCUCCAAAGGGUAAAUCUUCACAGCGUUCACCAGCAAAAUCUCCAUCAAGAUCUCCCUCUCGUUCUCGCUCAAGAUCAAGGUCCCGUUCGUUAUCAGGAUAUGGAAACUUGCAGCAUACUGGAAAUUGGAAAUUAGGAACUUGGUGGGAUUUGGUUCAAUUGCCUGCAACUCAUUUGUUGUGGAGAUUGGGAACCAAGGAGAUCAUGGAUUGCCAUUUUAGAGCUGGAUGUCUUGUGUAUUAAAGGCAAUUUGGAUUUGGAAAUCACCACCAAUGAGCAAUAGGGACAAUUUCAUUACAAUUGUGGGCUUCAAGAUUUUCCAAGCCAAUAGGAUGCACUAUCUGGAUUCUCUGGAUUUUGUGGUGCAGUAGGGAAGAUUUCUUUUCUCCAGUCCAUUGGUGUCUUAAUAUUGUACCCUGAGAUAGCCUAAUUUUAUUCACUUUUCAUCAUAUUAUUGUGCAUACAGUCUUACUUUUCCAUUUUUAGCCUUCUCUGUUUGUCUGUUUUAUAUUUUACAAUGCUUGUUUUUACCUCUCUUGGAUAUGUUAACUGUGACAUGGGAGAGGCACCAAGGCUGUUGGAUCAAUUUGAUAAGAGAACUUGAGGAUUUUAAACUCUGUUGUUUGUGGAACUUUUGCAGAUCACGGUCAAGGUCCAGGUCUCCAUUGCCUUCACAUAAUAAAAGCCCCAAAAAGCGCAGUGCAAGCAGGAGCCCAAGUAGGAGUAGGAGCAAGAGUUUGUCCCGGUGAUCUCUGAUUGUUGCAAUUGGAUGAAGUUGUGGAAGAUGGUGAGUGCUACCAAGUUUUUCUAGUGAAUUGACAUUAGUCAAGAAAAACACUUAUUUGGGUUUAUGUUAUUUGAACUCCUUUGAAUUGAACCUGAGAAUUCUGCCCAUUGGCCUUGGUUUUUAUUGAAUGAUUUGACGGACCCUAGUUUUCUGUAAUAGACUGUUGAAUGACAAACUUUAGCUCUUUGGAUCCUUAACGCGGGUUUAUUAU